Cygnus atratus (black swan) is the source of this 1315-nucleotide long non-coding RNA. RefSeq lists it as uncharacterized. The record is from RefSeq and is a predicted model, not a curated record. Lineage: Eukaryota; Metazoa; Chordata; Aves; Anseriformes; Anatidae. The transcript is spliced from 3 exons.
GGGGUCGGGGCCUCGUUGCCCCGCCCCGUCUUCCGAAGGUGAUGGCGGUGGCCUGGGUGGCGGCGGCAGUCGGCGCCGGGAAGACUGAAAUUACUGCUUUUACAGACUGCAUUACAACAGCUGAUUUCUUGUGAGGAGCUUAAGGAGCUAAGGAGACUAUUAAAAGGUUGCUACAGUUUAAGGACUAAUACACCAUAUAAGGAAAGCGGGGAGAAUGACUGUCUUCACCCGUAUGACCACCAGAGGGACGAAGGUGAACGGGACAGGAUGACCCCCUAGCAAUAACUGACGUUGCGGAACUCGGAAGGACUGAAACAAGACGACCCCCUAGCAACAACUGACGCAGCGGAACCCGGAAGAACUGGAUGAUAAAAAGGGACUGCAGGGAGGGGGAGUUGCGCGCCGCUUGGUGGAGCACGAGUUCCCCCGGCUGCCCAGAGCUGUUUUGCUUGCUGAUCGCUUACUUAAUAAAUUGAUUGACUUAAUUCAAAUUCUUCCGACUGAGAGUAAUUUAUAACACUGAAGAACAGGCUUUCUUGCUUUACAGGAUGUUUUAUUUUCGGGGAAUGGUGUUAAGCCAUUACUCUUUGCUCUGCUUCACAAAAAAAAGGUUUUGGAAUCAAAUUCACUUUUUGACACAUGAGAAAUAGUUUCACUUUUUCAAUACCAAAACUAAUUAGCCUUCCAGGGUGGAUGUUACCAGAGUAGGACUGUGCAUUAAUGCUUUGUAUAAGAUGUUAUAUAUGUAGAUGUAAAUAUAAUACAGAAUUUUGAAUGUUUGUGUGUAUAUAUAUAUUUGUCCAUGUUUACUUGAAUUCUUAUAGCGACUAUAAAUGCUUUGUGUAAAUUGUAUUUUUUUACCCUUUUCUUUAAGAAUAAUACCUGUUACUUCUUUUUGUAAGUAUUCCUAGUAAGUUUAGGGAAAAGAAGUAUAGUGAGAGUAGAGUCUAUGUUCAACUGUAAAAUAGAAUACAUGUUUAAAAUAUUUAGAGGAUUUUUUGAAAAUAUGUUCCUUUUGUCCAAAUUAAUUAUGGCAUGUAUCAGCCCAACUGUGUUGACACGCUAUAGGACAACACUGAUUACUAAUAUUCCACUUGUGAUAAACAUUGGCAGUAGCAUUUUUUUAUAAAUUGUUAAAAGCUAAAUGAAACUAUUGUAGAAUACAGCUUAAAAUCUUAUCAGUAGAAGGGGAGCCAGAGUAAUCACUUCUCUGUGAAUACAGCUUCCUAUUUAACAAGUAGUGUAUUUCAACAGAAGCAUUCCAAAAAUAAAGCUAUCCCUUUGCACAGUGCCUAACUAUCAGGUGAAAAAUCCC